Molecule: long non-coding RNA, 1665 nt
Organism: Cynara cardunculus var. scolymus (artichoke)
Lineage: Eukaryota; Viridiplantae; Streptophyta; Magnoliopsida; Asterales; Asteraceae
Exons: 3
Source: RefSeq, a predicted model, not a curated record
UUCUCUCUCUAGAUUCCCCAAUAGUGUAUGUAUAUGUGGUGGCCGUCGCUACUGUUUUAUGUGUCCAGCAUCUGCUUCACACCACCAGUUUUUCAUCGCAUGUUAGGAGAGAGAGAGUGAGAACCCCAUCAUCAACCAAGUACACCAAGUACUCAAUAGCCUUAUCAUACCACUCAGAGAGUAGAGUUUUGGUAUCAGUGAUGCCUUGUUUCGCGUUUUUUGCUUUGUGGGGUUUUUGCCUUUUUUUAACUGACCCAAACCCUAGAUGUUCUUUCAGGGGUACGUUUCCUUAAAUGGGUAUUUUUGCUUUGUGCUCUCAGAUCUGACUUUGAAACCUUCUCCUCCUUCUUUUGGCUCUAUUUCAUGCAUUUGGUUUGGUUACCCUAUUUGGAAAAGUAGUACUUGCCGGGAGAGAGAUAGAGCUGACAGAAGAGAGUGAGCACACAAAGGCAAAUUGUACCCAAGCGACUUGUAUGAUUGUUUUGGGUGCUCACUGCUCUAUCUGUCACCUUCAUCCUUUGCUUCUCCUUCCUUCCUUCCUUCCUUCCUUCCCUUUUUCUUCGAGCUUUUCUCACUCGUUUUCUGAAACCAUUUUGUUGAACUAAAUUACAUAUAUAUAUAUUGGGUUUCUUAAUCGGCGAGUGAGACUCAAUAUGACUCGAAUCAUAAAGCAACAACAGCAUAGUUUGGUGUCCGUUGUUGUUGUGAUCUGUUAAUUUGGAUUCUUUCGGCAAAAUGAAUGAUAUGAUGAGGGGGUCGUUGAAGAAACACACCUGAUAUGAUCUUUUGUUAAUUAGUGUGUUUUUUUGGAUAUCAAUACAUAUAAUAAUAGCUAUGGUUAUUGAAUAUUAUAUUAUUAAUAGACUAUAUACUUAAUUAGCAGUAGGGUUUAGUUUGAUGAAAGCGUGACUUUUCAUGGUUUACUGUGCUAAAUCAACGGAAAACUGACAUUAUUAUGUGACUAUUGCCUUAACAGCACGUUAUUUAGGAUGGUCCUCCUCUCUUUCUUUUUCAUUUUUAAUUUCUCUUCGCGCAUGCGAUCUCUGCACUCAGAAAUUUUGAAUCUUGACUGGAUUUGCUGUUCUUGAUCUUGGUCUAUUCCCAGGCUUAAGAUUAUGAACUCCCAGACCACGUCAAGAUUGUAAAGACUGUUGAUAUUCAUCAAUAGAAAUUUUCCAAAAGCAAGACAGCAUAUUGAUCAGUUGAAAAGUACUACAACAUCAAAGAACUUGAGGAUUUUAGGUAGGUUAGAUGGUACUCAUGGUUCUUGGAGAUGAUAUUGGCAUGGCAUCAAAUGCAGAAAUUUUCUGUAGCCCUCAAAUUCCCACUUGCAGCUUCGAGGCAUAUUUGUCAGUGGUGCAAACCUGGAGUCUUUUUCAAGCCUCUUGCAGGUUUCUGCAUUUUUCAAGCAUAGUACUCGACGUGUUUGUAAAUCUAUAUUUUGAGUAGAAUUAAUCCACCAUGUUUAUAAUAUAAUGGAUCGAGUUAUAUGGUGCCACCCCAGGUUUGGAACCCACAGUACGAUGAAAGUUGUAAGCUGUGUUCGGGGGGAGUUAUUGGGUGAUCAAUUUGUUUAGGUGGUGGUUCUUGAAGUGCAAAACGUUCCAUCUUUUCUAAAUAGCUUCUUUCAAAAUGGCUUAUAAGAUGUUGUAUUGUGUGGUCCUA